Molecule: ribosomal RNA, 321 nt
Filed under: Penicillium namyslowskii
Lineage: Eukaryota; Fungi; Ascomycota; Eurotiomycetes; Eurotiales; Aspergillaceae
Description: eukaryotic LSU rRNA
Rfam family: Eukaryotic large subunit ribosomal RNA
Source: RNAcentral
AGACCGAUAGCGAACAAGUAGAGUGAUCGAAAGAUGAAAAGCACUUUGAAAAGAGAGUUAAAAAGCACGUGAAAUUGUUGAAAGGGAAGCGCUUGCGACCAGACUCGCCUACGGGGUUCAGCCGGUAUUCGUACCGGUGUACUUCCCCGUGGGCGGGCCAGCGUCGGUUUGGGCGGCCGGUCAAAGGCCCUCGGAAUGUAACGCCUCUCGGGGCGUCUUAUAGCCGAGGGUGCCAUGCGGCCAGCCCRGACCGAGGAACGCGCUUCGGCACGGACGCUGGCAUAAUGGUCGUAAGCGACCCGUCUUGAAACACGGACCAAG